UAGGGAAUCUUCCACAAUGGACGAAAGUCUGAUAGAGCAACGCCGCGUGAGUGAAGAAGGGUUUCGGCUCGUAAAACUCUGUUGUUAAAGAAGAACAUAUCUGAGAGUAACUGUUCAGGUAUUGACGGUAUUUAACCAGAAAGCCACGGCUAACUACGUGCUAG
Molecule: ribosomal RNA, 164 nt
Filed under: uncultured bacterium
Lineage: Bacteria
Description: partial 16S rRNA
Rfam family: Bacterial small subunit ribosomal RNA
Source: RNAcentral